GUGGGGAAUCUUAGACAAUGGGGGCAACCCUGAUCUAGCCAUGCCGCGUGAGUGAUGAAGGCCUUAGGGUCGUAAAGCUCUUUCGCCGGGGAAGAUAAUGACGGUACCCGGUAAAGAAACCCCGGCUAACUCCGUGCCAGCAGCCGCGGUAAUACGGAGGGGGUUAGCGUUGUUCGGAAUUACUGGGCGUAAAGCGCGCGUAGGCGGAUCGGAAAGUUGGGGGUGAAAUCCCGGGGCUCAACCCCGGAAUUGCCUUCAAAACUCCCGGUCUUGAGGUCGAGAGAGGUGAGUGGAAUUCCGAGUGUAGAGGUGAAAUUCGUAGAUAUUCAGAGGAACACCAGUGGCGAAGGCGGCUCACUGGCUCGAUACUGACGCUGUGGUGCGAAAGCGUGGGGAGCAAACAGGAUUAGAAACCCUUGUAGUCC
Molecule: ribosomal RNA, 425 nt
Filed under: uncultured bacterium
Lineage: Bacteria
Description: partial 16S ribosomal RNA
Rfam family: Bacterial small subunit ribosomal RNA
Source: RNAcentral